CGCCAGACUCCUACGGGAGGCAGCAGUGGGGAAUAUUGCACAAUGGGGGAAACCCUGAUGCAGCGACGCCGCGUGAGUGAGGAAGUAUUUCGGUAUGUAAAGCUCUGUCAGCAGGGAAGAAAGAAAUGACGGUACCUGACCAAGAAGCCCCGGCUAACUACGUGCCAGCAGCCGCGGUAAUACGGGGGAUGCAAGCGUUGUCCGGAAUCAUUGGGCGUAAAGAGUUCGUAGGUGGCACGUUAAGUCUGGUGUUAAAUGCAGAGGCUCAACCUCUGUUCGGCACUGGAUACUGGCGAGCUUGAAUGCGGUAGAGGUAAAGGGAAUUCCUGGUGUAGCGGUGAAAUGCGUAGAUAUCAGGAGGAACAUCGGUGGCGUAAGCGCGUUACUGGGCCGUAAUUGACACUGAGGAACGAAAGCCAGGGUAGCAAAUGGGAUUAGAUACCCCCGUAAG
This 451-nucleotide ribosomal RNA is filed under the name uncultured bacterium. RNAcentral's name for it is "bacterial SSU rRNA". It matches the Rfam family "Bacterial small subunit ribosomal RNA", at positions 329 to 793 of the family's 1533-position model. The record is from RNAcentral.